Piliocolobus tephrosceles (Ugandan red Colobus) is the source of this 930-nucleotide long non-coding RNA. RefSeq lists it as uncharacterized. NCBI's taxonomy places the organism in Eukaryota, Metazoa, Chordata, Mammalia, Primates, Cercopithecidae. The transcript has 2 exons. The record is from RefSeq and is a predicted model, not a curated record.
CCCAGUCUCAAGGGAUCCUUCUGCUUUGGCCUCCUGAGUCGCUGGGACCACAGUAUUUUGUCAUCUGCAUACCUAAGGAAACUAUUAUCCACUAUGUUACCUGGAACCUUCAUACAAAUUGUUGAACGAACCUGCCCCCAAUGUACAAUGCUAUUGAACAUAACUUUCUUAGUCCUGCAAAGCCGAUACAGAUCUUGGAAGAGAAACGCUUGAAUGUACUGACCCAAAUGGUUACUGAUCUAUUAUGCAAAAACCUUAAAGUACUAGCAAUUAAAUCUGGCUCUUAUAGUCUUCUCACAGACAAAUCUUGCUCAUUCUGAAAAGUUUCUUUGAAGAAAGAAUUGGUUCUUGACGCUCUGAAAUAUACUUGUCUCUCUUAUUUGAGUUGGAUGAAUUGUUGCUGUUUUGGAAUCUGCACUGUGUGUGGGAUGGGGAUGUGGGAGUUACCUGUCCCCUGAGGCAGACAGAGUCUUUCCCUCCCCUCCCUUCUCUGCCCUACCUGGGCCAUCUCACCCCUCAAUCAUCUCCCUAUCUACCUUCGGAGGACCAUUUCCUCUUAGUGACUGAUAAUGAAAUUCCUGAACAGAGUUCAGGAUGCCAGGGAUUUUAACAGUCAAGACUCAACCAAGGAGAAGACAUUGAGAAAGCAGCAGGCACACCUGUGUUCAGAUAAGCUGACUUUCCUGUGUUUUGCAUUUGUUCCAUCUGUCACCAUGGGAACAAUGGCAGUGCACCUGUCCCACUUGGCAGGGACUUCAGUUGGACCCAUUCUGCACCCCACAGCUCGGAACUCAAACUGCCAUGGAGGAGUCAAGAGACCUACAUGCUGCUCACCUGUCCUGGGUGUGGUCUUGAAUCAACUUUAGCUUUUCUGAGCCUUACAUGUUUUCUAUGUUUAAAAGAUGAAAAAUAAAUCUAGACCUCUACCUA